GAUGCCUUUAACCGGGUGUCGGGGGCGGACGGCACGUUUACUUUGAACAAAUUUGAGUGCUCAAAGCAGGCUUAUGCCUGAAAAUUCUUGCAUGGAAUAAUGGAAUAGGACUUCGGUUCUAUUUUGUUGGUUUUCGGAUCCGAAGUAAUGGUUAAGAGGGACAGACGGGGGCAUUUGUAUGGCGGUGUUAGAGGUGAAAUUCUUGGAUCGCCGCCAGACAAACUACAGCGAAAGCAUUUGCCAAGGAUGUUUUCAUUGAUCUGGAGCGAAAGUCAGA
RNAcentral lists this ribosomal RNA (277 nucleotides) under Collyriclum faba. Its description in RNAcentral is "partial 18S ribosomal RNA". It matches the Rfam family "Eukaryotic small subunit ribosomal RNA", at positions 715 to 994 of the family's 1831-position model. The record is from RNAcentral. Lineage: Eukaryota; Metazoa; Platyhelminthes; Trematoda; Plagiorchiida; Collyriclidae.